UCAGUGAACUAAGAGUGGAUGUUGUCAAC
This 29-nucleotide non-coding RNA is filed under the name Callithrix jacchus (white-tufted-ear marmoset). The record is from RNAcentral. Lineage: Eukaryota; Metazoa; Chordata; Mammalia; Primates; Cebidae. RNAcentral also lists the same sequence under 2 other names.